AGUAACACGUGGAUAAUCUGCCCCAAAGAUGGGGAUAACUACGGGAAACUGUAGCUAAUACCGAAUGUGAACCGGAUGUCAUAUGGCAACCGGUUUAAAGGUGUCCUCUACAUGUAAGCUAUCACUUUGGGAUGAGUCCGCGUACUAUUAGCUUGUUGGUAGGGUAACGGCCUACCAAGGCUACGAUGGUUAGCCGAUCUGAGAGGAUGACCGGCCACAUUGGGACUGAGAUACGGCCCAGACUCCUACGGGAGGCAGCAGUGGGAAUUUUCCGCAAUGGACGCAAGUCUGACGGAGCGACGCCGCGUGAGGGAUUAAGGCUUUCGAGUUGUAAACCUCUUUCGACAGGGAAGAAUAAGAUAUGGUCAAAUAGGCCAUAACGAUGACGGUACCUGGAGAAGAAGCACCGGCUAAAUUCGUGCCAGCAGCCGCGGUAAUACGAAUGGUGCAAGCGUUGUUCGGAUUUAUUGGGCGUAAAGGGCGCGCAGGCGGUUAUGUAAGUCAACAGUCCAACUCCACGGCUCAACUGUGGAUUAUCUGCUGAAACUGCAUGGCUUGAGUAUAGGAGAGGAAAGUGGAAUUCUUGGUGUAGCGGUGAAAUGCGUAGAUAUCAAGAGGAACGUCAGUGGCGAAGGCUACUUUCUGGACUAUUACUGACGCUGAGGCGCGAAAGCAUGGGUAGCAAACAGGAUUAGAUACCCUGGUAGUCCAUGCCGUAAACGAUGGGUACUUGGUGGUGGGAGCUCACUCUCGCUGCCGGAGUUAACGCGUUAAGUACCCCGCCUGGGGAGUACGGUCGCAAGGCUGAAACUCAAAGGAAUUGACGGGGGCCCGCACAAGCGGUGGAGCAUGUGGUUCAAUUCGAUGAUACGCGAGGAACCUUACCUGGGCUUGACAUGGGAGCUUCCAUUUUUGGAAGUUAGUCUAAUGAAAGUUAGAUGAAUCCACACAGGUGCUGCAUGGCUGUCGUCAGCUCGUGUCGUGAGAUGUUGGGUUAAGUCCCGUAACGAGCGCAACCCCUACCCUUAGUUGCCAGCACGUAAUGGUGGGAACUCUAAGGAGACUGCCGGUAACAAACCGGAGGAAGGUGGGGACGACGUCAAGUCCUCAUGGCCCUUAUGCCCAGGGCAACACACGUGCUACAAUGGUCAGUACAACGGGCUGCGAAGUCGCGAGAUGGAGCUAAUCCCUGAAAACUGGCCUCAGUUCGGAUUGGAGGCUGAAAUUCGCCUCUAUGAAGCUGGAAUCGCUAGUAAUCGCGGAUCAGAAUGCCGCGGUGAAUACGUUCCCGGGCCUUGUACACACCGCCCGUCACACCAAUCGAGUUGAGUGCACCCGAAGUCGCCGGUCCAACCCCUUGUGGGAGGAAGGUGCCGAAGGUGUGUUUAGCGAGAGGGGUGAAGUCGUAACAAGGUA
This 1416-nucleotide ribosomal RNA is filed under the name metagenome. RNAcentral describes it as "bacterial SSU rRNA". It matches the Rfam family "Bacterial small subunit ribosomal RNA". The record is from RNAcentral.